Long non-coding RNA from Zea mays, 417 nucleotides. RefSeq lists it as uncharacterized. Lineage: Eukaryota; Viridiplantae; Streptophyta; Magnoliopsida; Poales; Poaceae. The record is from RefSeq and is a predicted model, not a curated record. The transcript is spliced from 4 exons.
UAAAGAGGGGAGUGAGGCAGACGAGGUAUAACCUAAAAAGGAAGUACUUCGACGAGUCACUGACAAAAGAACAGUUGUUGGCCAUGCAACCUCCACCUAAAAUGAAGAAAGAGGAUUGGACUGGGCUGGUAGAGUAUUGGUGUGACCCAAAGAAUCAGGAAAAAUCUGCUAAGAACAAAGCAAACUGAGGCAACAUGCAGCUUCACCAAAGGACUGGAGCUAGGUCCUAUAUAGCCCAUCGUUACAGCCUGAGGACUAAGUACAACAACAUGGAGCCGGAUGCUGUUGAUUUCUUUGGGGAAUGUAUGAAUAGUCCCCGAAAUGGUCGUACUCCGCUUGCAAAUGAGAUAUAUGAGCAAAUGGUUGCAGAGAAGGAUAGAGAGCUAGAAGAAGGAGAAGCACAAAAGUCACCCUCCA